This 492-nucleotide ribosomal RNA is filed under the name uncultured bacterium. Its description in RNAcentral is "partial 16S ribosomal RNA". It matches the Rfam family "Bacterial small subunit ribosomal RNA", at positions 30 to 507 of the family's 1533-position model. The record is from RNAcentral.
AUUGAACGCUGGCGGCAUGCUUUACACAUGCAAGUCGAGCGGUAACAGGCCUUCGGGUGCUGACGAGUGGCGAACGGGUGAGUAAUGCAUCGGAACGUACCCAGAGGUGGGGGAUAACGCAGCGAAAGCUGUGCUAAUACCGCAUGUGAUCUGAGGAUGAAAGCGGGGGACCGAGCAGCAAUGUUUGGCCUCGCGCCUUUGGAGCGGCCGAUGUCGGAUUAGCUAGUUGGUGGGGUAAAGGCCUACCAAGGCGACGAUCCGUAGCUGGUCUGAGAGGACGACCAGCCACACUGGGACUGAGACACGGCCCAGACUCCUAUGGGAGGCAGCAGUGGGGAAUUUUGGACAAUAGGCGCAAGCCUGAUCCAGCAAUGCCGCGUGCGGGAAGAAGGCCUUCGGGUUGUAAACCGCUUUUGGCAGGAACGAAACGGUGUCCGCUAAUACCGGGCGCUAAUGACGGUACCUGCAGAAUAAGCACCGGCUAACUACGUG